CACGUAGGCACCAAGCGUUGUCCGGAUUUAUUGGGCGUAAAGAGCUCGUAGGCGGUUCAGUAAGUCGGGUGUGAAAACUUUGGGCUUAACCCAAAGCGUGCAUCCGAUACUGCUGUGACUUGAGUUCGGUAGGGGAGUGGGGAAUUCCUAGUGUAGCGGUGAAAUGCGCAGAUAUUAGGAGGAACACCGGUGGCGAAGGCGACCAUCUGGACGGAUACUGACGCUGAGACGCGAAAGCGUGGGUAGCAAACAGG
RNAcentral lists this ribosomal RNA (254 nucleotides) under uncultured bacterium. RNAcentral describes it as "partial 16S ribosomal RNA". It matches the Rfam family "Bacterial small subunit ribosomal RNA", at positions 524 to 776 of the family's 1533-position model. The record is from RNAcentral.